This 494-nucleotide ribosomal RNA is filed under the name uncultured bacterium. Its description in RNAcentral is "partial 16S ribosomal RNA". It matches the Rfam family "Bacterial small subunit ribosomal RNA", at positions 28 to 507 of the family's 1533-position model. The record is from RNAcentral.
GACGAACGCUGGCGGCGCGCUUAACACAUGCAAGUCGAACGGAAAGGCCUGCUUUCCCUUGUGGAUUGCGGGUACUCGAGUGGCGAACGGGUGAGUAACACGUGAGUGAUCUGCCCCCAACUUGGGUAUAAGCCUGGGAAACUGGGUCUAAUUCCCGAUAGGACUGCAGGGUGGUGCCUGUGGUGGAAAACGAUUUUCUAGUGGUUGGGGAUGAGCUCGCGGCCUAUCAGCUUGUUGGUGGGGUAAUGGCCUACCAAGGCGGCGACGGGUAGCCGGCCUGAGAGGGUGGACGGCCACAUUGGGACUGAGAUACGGCCCAGACUCCUACGGGAGGCAGCAGUGGGGAAUAUUGCACAAUGGGCGGAAGCCCGAUGCAGCGACGCCGCGUGGGGGAUGACGGCCUUCGGGUUGUAAACUCCUUUCGACCGCGAGGAAGCCACCUGGUUGGAAGGGUGGUGACGGUAGUGGUAGAAGAAGCACCGGCUAACUACGUG